This 253-nucleotide ribosomal RNA is filed under the name uncultured bacterium. RNAcentral describes it as "partial 16S ribosomal RNA". It matches the Rfam family "Bacterial small subunit ribosomal RNA", at positions 524 to 776 of the family's 1533-position model. The record is from RNAcentral.
UACGUAGGGACCAAGCGUUGUUCGGAUUUACUGGGCGUAAAGGGCGCGUAGGCGGACAGUUUAGUCAGAGGUGAAAGCCCAGGGCUCAACCUUGGAAUUGCCUUUGAUACUGGCUGUCUUGAGUUCGGGAGAGGUGAGUGGAAUGCCGAGUGUAGAGGUGAAAUGCGUAGAGAUCCGGAGGAACACCAGAGGCGAAGGCGGCCUACUGGGCUGCACCUGACGCUGAGCCGCGAAAGCCAGGGGAGCGAACGGG